RNAcentral lists this ribosomal RNA (424 nucleotides) under uncultured Methylocystis sp. RNAcentral describes it as "bacterial SSU rRNA". It matches the Rfam family "Bacterial small subunit ribosomal RNA", at positions 39 to 510 of the family's 1533-position model. Lineage: Bacteria; Pseudomonadati; Pseudomonadota; Alphaproteobacteria; Hyphomicrobiales; Methylocystaceae. The record is from RNAcentral.
GCGGCAGGCCUAACACAUGCAAGUCGAACGCUGUAGCAAUACAGAGUGGCAGACGGGUGAGUAACGCGUGGGAACAUGCCCUUCGGUUCGGAAUAACUCAGGGAAACUUGAGCUAAUACCGGAUACGCCCUUAGGGGGAAAGAUUUAUUGCCGAAGGAUUGGCCCGCGUCCGAUUAGCUAGUUGGUGAGGUAAUGGCUCACCAAGGCGACGAUCGGUAGCUGGUCUGAGAGGAUGAUCAGCCACACUGGGACUGAGACACGGCCCAGACUCCUACGGGAGGCAGCAGUGGGGAAUAUUGGACAAUGGGCGCAAGCCUGAUCCAGCCAUGCCGCGUGAGUGAUGAAGGCCCUAAGGUUGUAAAGCUCUUUCGCCAGGGACGAUAAUGACNGUACCUGGGAUAAAAACCCNGGUNANUUUCUGCCA